AGGAUGAACGCUGGCGGUAUGCCUAACACAUGCAAGUCGUACGAGAGUUUUUAACUCUAGUGGCGGACGGGUGAGUAACACGUGAGAAUUUGCCUUUAGGAGGGGGACAACAAUUGGAAACGAAUGCUAAUACCCCAUAUGCUUUCGAGUGAAAUGGAUUUUAUCCGCCUAGAGAGAAGCUCGCGGCUGAUUAGCUUGUUGGUAAGGUAAGAGCUUACCAAGGCGACGAUCAGUAUCUGGUUUGAGAGGACGAUCAGACACACUGGAACUGAGACACGGUCCAGACUCCUACGGGAGGCAGCAGUGGGGAAUUUUCCGCAAUGGGCGAAAGCCUGACGGAGCAAUACCGCGUGAGGGAAGAAUGCCUAUGGGUUGUAAACCUCUUUUUUCAGGGAGGAAUAAAAUGACGUGUACCUGAAGAAUAAGCAUCGGCUAACUCCGUG
RNAcentral lists this ribosomal RNA (443 nucleotides) under uncultured bacterium. Its description in RNAcentral is "bacterial SSU rRNA". It matches the Rfam family "Bacterial small subunit ribosomal RNA", at positions 26 to 507 of the family's 1533-position model. The record is from RNAcentral.